CGCAAACACAGAAGAUAAGGCUGCAGAAGCUCGAGUCUCUGUCUUCCAAGGCCAAUUCCAAUGCCUCUGUCACUGUUGCUGACUCCAUCCCUGUCAACUAUGAUGACGGGUUCCUCAAGGGGCAUGGAACAUCUGAGCUUAAUGGUGAAGUCAUUGCUACUGUGUGUGGAGUAGUCGAGCGGGUUAACAAGCUAGUGUAUGUUCGAACUCUUCGAGCCAGGUACAAGCCAA
This is a non-coding RNA of Punica granatum (pomegranate), 231 nucleotides long. The record is from RefSeq and is a predicted model, not a curated record. NCBI's taxonomy places the organism in Eukaryota, Viridiplantae, Streptophyta, Magnoliopsida, Myrtales, Lythraceae.